Molecule: small RNA, 145 nt
Filed under: Arabidopsis thaliana (thale cress)
Lineage: Eukaryota; Viridiplantae; Streptophyta; Magnoliopsida; Brassicales; Brassicaceae
Description: ATSL031960
Source: RNAcentral
AAUAUUUAACAUGUGUUAUAUCAAUCUAAACCCGUCUCGCUAUAUUUCAUAUCAAUCCAAACCCGUCUCGCUAAAUUUUUCAUCUCAUGAUAUUUUAAUUUUUAAUAAGUUUAAAUAUUAAUAAUGUUUUAUAAAGUUAAAAUAU